This is a non-coding RNA of Physcomitrium patens, 1202 nucleotides long. NCBI's taxonomy places the organism in Eukaryota, Viridiplantae, Streptophyta, Bryopsida, Funariales, Funariaceae. The record is from RefSeq and is a predicted model, not a curated record.
AAGGGGUGAAAGGGAGCUUGAAGGCAGAAAUUGCAAACAUGGAGAAUGUGACUUCGAAGUGCGAGGGUCCGAGGAGGGGUGUGGAUUAUGAGGAGGAGGUGGAGAUCGAGGGGGUGAUGGAUGGAGAAGGUGUCAGGUAUUGGGAGGAAAGAACCAGGGUGUUGAAAGAAUCAGGUGCGGACGCAAGAUCUGUGAAGCAUAUCGGGAAAGAGAAACCAGUGCGGGAGGACGAGGGAGAGGGGGAGGGGAAGAGAGCAUCAGGAGACGAGUUCUUGAAGGAGGUGAUGGAGGCGGUGCGGCUCACACGACAACCGACCCCCUGGAUGGUCCGGCGGGAGAAGCUGGUGAGAAUCAUAAAGCACGACAUGGAGAGGAUGAACUCAAGACCCGGGAGCUUUGUAGCGGAGAGCCUGCGCUACAACCAGAACUUGGCAAGAGCGUAUCUGCGCUUCGGCUUACAAAGAUGCCCAUCGAAAGACGAGCUGGCGAUCCGAGAGAAUCGCAUGCUGCGGAGGAAGAUGAUGAUGUUGAGCCAAGAAGAGUAGUCACCAAGAACCCAAACAUCAAUCGAGUGGAAACCCGCACAACACAAGGUCAGGGUUAGUGCGACCCAACAACAUGACCUCUCAUGCUUAUCCAACAUCCACUUCACUUGCAAUCUUUGCCAAGCAACCGCACUGCGCGAGAAAAGCUUCGAACCUCGCUAAUACCCAUGUCAAUGAAAUGACUCCUUCACAACUACAACAGCGGCUGCAUGCUUAGUGGCUUUAGAUCUCAAGUGGGCUUUCUUUCCAUCGCCGUUACAAUAAAGCUAGACUUAUAUGCUUUUGAACCCCUCAAACACAACCUCAAAGAAAGAAAAGUAUUCUACCUGGGUUCAUGUCUGCUUUCUUCACCGAAACUGUCGCUCUCAACUGAGCAUCUUUCGAGGCAAGUACGGAGGAGCAAGAGAGAGCAGAGCAGAAAAGCCUUAUGAAUGCUUGCUGGCUAAGCUCUGGAGCAGCAUUGCAAGAAUGGGUACAGUCAUUGGAACAAAGCCUCACGUGCACAUGCGCAUGUGAUGACGUAUUUGCGAAGAAACGAUUUUGUGAACAAAACCAUGAAUCAUGACUGUGUGAAUAUGAAUUUACGAUAUAUUUAUGUAUGUAUGCAUGUAAAUAUAUAAAUCUAUAUAUAUAUAUAUAUAUAUAUUUAUUUACUCA